This 440-nucleotide ribosomal RNA is filed under the name uncultured bacterium. RNAcentral's name for it is "partial 16S ribosomal RNA". It matches the Rfam family "Bacterial small subunit ribosomal RNA", at positions 338 to 795 of the family's 1533-position model. The record is from RNAcentral.
CCUACGGGAGGCAGCAGUGGGGGAUAUUGCACAAUGGGGGGAACCCUGAUGCAGCGACGCCGCGUGGGUGAAGGAGCGUUUCGGCGCGUAAAGCUCUAUCGGCAGGGAAGUAGAUGACGGUACGUGACCAAGAAGCCCCGGCUAACUACGUUCCAGCAGCCGCGGCAAUACGUAGGGGGCAAGCGUUAUCCGGAUUUACUGGGUGUAAUGGGGGCGUAGACGGCUAUGCAAGUCAGGAGUGAAAGCCCGGGGCCCAACCCCGGGACUGCUGUUGAAACUGGAUGGCUGGAGUACAGGAGGGGCAGGCGGAAUUCCUAGUGUAGCGGUGAAAUGCGUAGAUAUUAGGAAGAACACCGAUGGCGAAGGCGGCCUACUAGACUGUGACUGACGUUGAGGCCCGAAGGCGUGGGGAGCAAACAGGAUUAGAUACCCGAGUAGUC